CAUAUGCAGCGAGGACCUAGAUGCGCGUUGAUGUAAUAGUAGUAAUAUUCUUGGUUGAUUGCUUGUAUAUUGUUUAGAGAGUGCAAGAAUAUGUCUAUAUUGAUGAUACAUGUUGACCAAAUCUGGUCAUUUAAUUUCAGCCGCGAUUUGAUAUAUGGCAUCUUAUAUGGUUCACCAUUUUAAUUGGCGGUGAUGGGCACCGUGCCGCAAGAAACUGUGGGAUCUGAUUAGAUCAACAAGCAAUCAGGUAAGAGAUCACUAUCUUCUCAUAGUGUCCCUGCCCGUGCCACAACAGGACUGAAUAAUAU
Molecule: long non-coding RNA, 308 nt
Filed under: Hordeum vulgare
Lineage: Eukaryota; Viridiplantae; Streptophyta; Magnoliopsida; Poales; Poaceae
Description: long non-coding RNA (HVUL_LNC010965)
Source: RNAcentral